AACUUUUGGUUUUCUGAUUUGAUCAGAAAACCAUUUGAAAAAAUUACAAGAACAAAUUCCUAUUAAUUUUAGUGGGUAUAUACGUCUGCAGCUCCUGCCUGACACCCAAGCUAAUGUAACUGCGGGAAAGAAUAUCAAGAAUCUUUUUAUUGUCGUAUUUGGUAAGGGCAACAGCGCGUUUGGAUAUACUGUCAAUUUCGGACGGAUGCAAGCCAAGCCAGCGCAGCAUUGGUGUGGCAAGACUCUUGGACGAGAAGCUCAUGGCUUGCGAACCGUGUCGGUAGGUGAGCAUUAUCUCAAUGCCAAAUGGAUCGGCAUCUACCAGAAUAUAGGCAGGCAAGUUGCACUCAACGGACAAUCUGUGCACAAUGCGUCGCGUUGUACAGUCCGGAUAUCCCUUGCCGGUCAACAAAAUGAAACGCAAGCCAAUCGUGUUGCAAGCAUUGCAGGCAAGCAAGCUCUCAAAGACAGACUCCUUUUCAACGAUCAGGACCAUUUCGGCAUUUGUCACAAUGCGUUCCACAUUCUCAAAGUCCGUUGGCAAUGUUAUAGCUCCACAAUAGACGUUGCAGUCCAAUAUAUCGCCAUUGCUCAUGAGCAGCUUAAUGUCACCUAAAAUAGAGAAAUAGUUAAUUCUACAGCAUAUUGUGGUUUGACAAAACUUCACACCUGCAAUAAGUCCUUUCGACGCCGAUAAUAUGCCCAGAUUGACGGGCGCCGUGUUCAGCAUGCGGCAGACAUCCAAUUUGGCUGCCACAAUGUAGCUCUGCGAGCGAACCACAUGAGUGUCCCGAUAGUAGAGUCCACGGAUUGUGCAACUACCGCCGGACAAGUGCAAGUUAUGGAUCUCGGCCAAGAGAUACACAAUCAGACAAAACCGGUGACGACUACGUCGAUUAUUGUACAUAAUCUUGCGACAAUUCAAAAUUGCCUUCACGUUAUCAAAUACUCCGAUAUUAUCCUCAAAAUUGAUUGGGUCGUACCAAUCUCGACAUAUGCGUGGAAUUUUUAAAGUAACAUUCUCAAAAGACGUAAUACUUGAGAUCAGCUCGAGCACAAUCUGCUCAACAUGCACCAAUAGUUCGUACAUAUUGGAAGACAUCGCCGUUACGUCUGAUACACAAGAUAUAUAUAUGUAUAUAUAUAUGAUAAUAGACUGUCGAGCCGAGUUUUUUUUCUUUUGAUUCGCCACCUAUUUUCCAUUUGGGGAAAACUUUUGAAAAUAUGAUGUAAAGCAAUGAAAACUUGAAGCCAAUCGGACGAGAAUCAAAAUUUCUGAUUGGAUUUUACACAUGGUAUUCAAUAAACUUAUAAAAUCGAAUUGGAAACUUAUGUUUCUCAGAAGAGCCCAA
Molecule: non-coding RNA, 1352 nt
Organism: Drosophila virilis
Lineage: Eukaryota; Metazoa; Arthropoda; Insecta; Diptera; Drosophilidae
Source: RefSeq, a predicted model, not a curated record